RNAcentral lists this ribosomal RNA (1673 nucleotides) under Proteus mirabilis. RNAcentral describes it as "partial 23S ribosomal RNA". It matches the Rfam family "Bacterial large subunit ribosomal RNA", at positions 1273 to 2925 of the family's 2925-position model. The record is from RNAcentral. Lineage: Bacteria; Pseudomonadati; Pseudomonadota; Gammaproteobacteria; Enterobacterales; Morganellaceae.
CUGGAGGUAUCAGAAGUGCGAAUGCUGACAUAAGUAACGAUAAUGCGGGUGAAAAACCCGCACGCCGGAAGACCAAGGGUUCCUGUCCAACGUUAAUCGGGGCAGGGUGAGUCGACCCCUAAGGCGAGGCUGAAAAGCGUAGUCGAUGGGAAACGGGUUAAUAUUCCCGUACUGGUGGUAACUGCGAUGGGGGAACGGAGAAGGCUAGGUUGUCCGGGCGACGGUCGUCCCGGUUCAAGCAGGUAGGCAGAGUGAUUAGGCAAAUCCGGUCACUUAAUGCUGAGAUGUGAUGACGAACCACCAAGGUGGUGAAGCAAUUGAUGCCCCGCUUCCAGGAAAAGCCUCUAAGCUUCAGGUUACCAACAAUCGUACCCCAAACCGACACAGGUGGUCAGGUAGAGAAUACUCAGGCGCUUGAGAGAACUCGGGUGAAGGAACUAGGCAAAAUGGUGCCGUAACUUCGGGAGAAGGCACGCUGGCGGUAGGUAAAGUCCCUCGCGGACGGCGCUGAAGCCAGUCGAAGAUACCAGCUGGCUGCAACUGUUUAUUAAAAACACAGCACUGUGCAAACACGAAAGUGGACGUAUACGGUGUGACGCCUGCCCGGUGCUGGAAGGUUAAUUGAUGGGGUCAGCCGUAAGGCGAAGCUCCUGAUCGAAGCCCCAGUAAACGGCGGCCGUAACUAUAACGGUCCUAAGGUAGCGAAAUUCCUUGUCGGGUAAGUUCCGACCUGCACGAAUGGCGUAAUGAUGGCCAGGCUGUCUCCACCCGAGACUCAGUGAAAUUGAACUCGCUGUGAAGAUGCAGUGUACCCGCGGCAAGACGGAAAGACCCCGUGAACCUUUACUAUAGCUUGACACUGAACAUUGAGCCUUGAUGUGUAGGAUAGGUGGGAGGCUUUGAAGUGUGGACGCCAGUCUGCAUGGAGCCAACCUUGAAAUACCACCCUUUAACGUUUGAUGUUCUAACCUAGGCCCAUAAACUGGGUCGGGGACCGUGUCUGGUGGGUAGUUUGACUGGGGCGGUCUCCUCCUAAAGAGUAACGGAGGAGCACGAAGGUUGGCUAAGCAUGGUCGGACAUCAUGCGGUUAGUGCAAAGGCAUAAGCCAGCUUGACUGCGAGAGUGACGGCUCGAGCAGGUACGAAAGUAGGUCUUAGUGAUCCGGUGGUUCUGAAUGGAAGGGCCAUCGCUCAACGGAUAAAAGGUACUCCGGGGAUAACAGGCUGAUACCGCCCAAGAGUUCAUAUCGACGGCGGUGUUUGGCACCUCGAUGUCGGCUCAUCACAUCCUGGGGCUGAAGUAGGUCCCAAGGGUAUGGCUGUUCGCCAUUUAAAGUGGUACGCGAGCUGGGUUUAGAACGUCGUGAGACAGUUCGGUCCCUAUCUGCCGUGGGCGUUGGAAGAUUGAGAGGGGUUGCUCCUAGUACGAGAGGACCGGAGUGAACGCACCACUGGUGUUCGGGUUGUCAUGCCAAUGGCAUUGCCCGGUAGCUAAGUGCGGAAGAGAUAACCGCUGAAAGCAUCUAAGCGGGAAACUUGCCUCGAGAUGAGUCUUCCCUGUCGCUUUAAGUGACCUAAAGGAACGUUUAAGACUAAGACGUUGAUAGGCUGGGUGUGUAAGCGUAGCGAUACGUUGAGCUAACCAGUACUAAUGAACCGUGAGGCUUAACCUG